Molecule: long non-coding RNA, 4310 nt
Organism: Oxyura jamaicensis (ruddy duck)
Lineage: Eukaryota; Metazoa; Chordata; Aves; Anseriformes; Anatidae
Exons: 2
Source: RefSeq, a predicted model, not a curated record
GACAUUUGAUAAAGGCUUUACCAUAUGGUCAUGGGGAUACACUUUACUCAGGCAAACAGUCCUGGUGAGACUGUAUAAGCAAAUAAAAUUUGCUUCAAAGUAAAUUUAUGGUUGCAGAAGGAAGCCCUCUGCACUUUGCACUUUCAAAAUAGACUUCAUGCAGUAUAAAUGAAGAGUUUAGCAGUUGUUUGCAUUUCCUCUUUCACCUUUUCAGGCAAAUAUUUGAUCAUUUUAUCUCACAGGUAGUAGACAGCUCAGCAACAUGGAACAGUAUGCUGGUAUACGCACGGAAAAAGAAAAAUAUAUUGAUGUGCCUCAAGAUGGGAGAGGUAAGAUCAGACUUCACGGAGCAGCUUUCAAGAAAACUAAUUAAAUGACAAAGACUUAAAAAUGGUUGAUAAGCAGCAGAGAGAGAGAAACUACAGGAUGGAGAUUGAUCAAGUCACCUGAAGAGAAGCACCUUUCAGACAACUUCUAUAGGCAAAUGUUAAGAAAGACUUUCCAGAAGAAAGCAGUCUGUAAGCAAUAUUUUAAUUUUUGACCGACAAUAUUAUCUUUCAAAGGAAUCAUGUUUGAGAAAAUGCUCAGUAGGAAGAAAAUUAAGUUGCUCUGGCAAAUCCACACAAAGGUGGAAAAAGAUCACAAGACAAAGCUUUGGUAGAUAACUUUUCUUUGCUUCCCCGUCCAUCUAUUGCUAUUUGAGCCUAAUCUAAGUGUCAGAAUACUGAAUGUGAGUUUUUCCAAAGUUCUCUGGUGAAUAUUUUGUCACAAUGAGGUAGAUGCUGGCAGUCCCCAUCACUGCUACCCGUGUUGUCAGGAACAGAUGAGUAAAGCUUUCCCACCCAAUCAAACUGCAGGGUAGCAACUGGUUCAGCCUUAGUACACAUUUUAGGAUCACUGCCAGUGAUUCUAAUAAGACAUCAAACAUCUGAGCACAGCUCAGCUUUAGCUUCACAUGCUUUCCUGAGGAGGGGAGAUUUUAUUAAUAAGCAAAACAGAUACCCCAUUCCUCCCCCAUACUCCUUGAAGCUGAAAGAAAAUUAGAAGAAAAGCAACAAACUUUGUAUUACAAAAGCAAUAAUACCAUUGUCCCUCUGCUGUACAAGGCAAUAAUCCAAUUCCCUCAUCCACUGACAGGUGUCAGAGUUUAUCUCUCACAAAUCUAAGGAUUCAUUUGUAAGCUGAAAGGGCAAUGAUGCUACCAUGGAAGCAUGUGGAGUACUUGGUCACUAAGUUGCAAUAGCUUGACUUAACUUUCCACAGGACAGGUUUAUUUUAAAACCAUACAGCAUCAAUUAUAUGAGCAGACCCUCUGAAAUUUAAUAAUUUAUUAAGAGAGAGAAAGGGAAAUGGAGAACCUGGCGAUUACAACUAAAUAGUAGUUCAUCUAGAAGUUGUAGGACAGUGCCAUGCUAAUGCCAAAUUAAUUCUUCAUGCCUCAUAUUUUGAGGCAUGCUGCAAAUCAGUAAUUUUAUAAUAAUGUUAUAUUUUAUUGUACAACCAGCGUGAGGAACACCUUGCCGAUGAAUAUUAAGAAACACCUUGUUAGUGAACAAUCAAGUUGGGGUGUUUUUUUGUACCUCUUUGAUUUGAGUGCAUUUUAGCCUUCCAUUGAACUCAAUGAGCUAGUUUAUAGUUAUUGGAGUAUAUGAUGGUACAUGACCAAACCCACCUAGGAAUAAAUACUGUUGGGGUAGCCAAGACUGGAGGACAUAGGAGUGUCCAGUCUCCAUUCUUUGGACCCAAUCUGAGUGGCAUAUUAAUAUGCUCAUGUCCCUUUUCUUUGCAAUCCAACUAGUAAAAUAAAUAAAUAAAUAGAAGCAGAGUAUCAUUGUGUAAGGACAGGCAACAGCUAAUGAGCAAGAAUUCAAAUGCUACAGAUAAGUGUGUCACCCUCCAGGCAUUAGGCUCCAACCUGUUCUAGGUAAGCAUACGCCUGGCCCACUCUUGCUCUUCACAGAAGCUCCUGUGCAUGCUCCUCUGAAUGCAACCCUGCUUGCAGAGCUGUCGUAGUGCAACUGGGGUGUUUGACAUUGAAUGAAAUGCAGCAUUUCAAACAAAAAGCAGACAAUAUUUUUUAAACCUUGUUUCACUCUAAACAUAAGAGAAUUUAGUUUUCUAACAAGAACAUUUAGAGCAUUGCAGAACUAUUUAAAGCACUUCAGCUGGGCACAAAAAGGACCUCCAGCAAACAAACACUGUAAGGAGCUUGCAGAUAGCAGCAGACAGUCCUGGCUGCUCUCUCCUUGGAGAUUAGAACUUCAGCAGGGAAAGGGUCAGAGCUCCUGGUGUUGGGACACCUAGCCCAAUGAGGAUGUAAAGUGGUGCCAACUUGCAAGAAAAACAAAGGAAGCCAAGUAGCUGGGAACAAUGCCAUCAAUACUUCUAAAGGUAUCACGUCUUCUCCCCACUCCCACUUUGGCUCCAAGAUCCAUAACCGUUGAAGACAGCCACCAAAGUAUGUAUCUCAGUAAUCAGUCUUCUGUUGGCGCUUUGCUCCUUUUACCCUCUAUCAGCACCUACUUUCAUUGUGAGGUGAUGACCUCCACAGAGAGCUUUGUAAAGAGCUUGUGUUCAUGAAGGAAUUUGUAUUAGAUACUGGUUUGUGUUACUUACUGUAUUUUGUAAGUUGUUUUUGUUUUUUGUUUUUUUUUUUUUCCCUUUGGGAACUGUGUGUUAUUAAUGAGCAGUUUUAUGCUUUACUUCUAGUACAUUAAUACCUUUUUAUUGAUGUGCUUUUUGUUUGUGUGCUUGUUUUCCUUUGAUUUUCUACACAGAGCCAGCUAAUAUAAGGUAGAUACUCUCUGGCUGAAAUUCUGAUUUUGCCUACCAAUUAACUUAUGGAUAAAUCCACAUCGUAGCUGUUGACGUUCAUCAAUUGUGUUGUUAUGACCAUCUGAUAGCCUACCUAAUUUAGCGGAAUAUAAGAUCUUGAAUAAGACUAGUGCUUGCCAGGCCUCAAACUAAAGGGAAACAUUGCACCACAUGUACUUCCCUAUCACCAUUGCUAUCAGCCUUUCUCCCUUAUUGAUGAGACAUUGCAGAAGAGCGCUGGCUGAACAUCCCAACCAUCUGUAUAGCAGUGCUCUGAUAUCCUGGUGCAUUCACCUGAUCAAAAGUAAUUACUGUGAACCAGAUGAACUGCAAUGAAUCACUCAAUUAUUUCUGCAGAAAGAGCCUGGUUCAAAUGCAAUCUCUCUCUAAAAGAAAGACUUGGACUAAAAUAGAUAUAUUUCUCUAUGUCCAUCCUGAUAUCGUUGGAAAAAUAAGGGAUAUAAAAUCAACAUUAAUGAAAGCGCAUAAUUUCAUUGUGCAUCCUAUUCACCAAUACCAACUAUUUCAGUGGCUAUUAAUGACAUUCACGCUCCAGAAGCCUCCUUCCCUGUCCAACUCAUUUUCUCUCCCAUGUUUUACUAAGAACUGAGUGUCCAACUUCUUAAUAAUUGCUGUGUAUAACAUAGAACAUAAGUUCUAAAAGUUAUAAAUUCAUAAGUUAUAAAGCUUGUGCAGGACUUGGUGUUGUAAUUAACCAUCUGUUGUGCCUGGUUAUCGAUCUUACAAGAACACAAAGUGAAAACAACCUGGCCUCUUAAUGUAUAAAUCAGCGUAUUGUAGCAGCUAUUUUAGAUAACUGUUUUUAAUAGUUUUAUUAUGGCUGUAAUGUCUAUCUGAGGACUGUCCACUUGCAGAAGCAUUGAAAUAAUACAUCAAAAUGAUUUUUAAACUCAGUUCUAUUUAACUACCAGUGAUGGUGUAUGUAAAUUAGGGCAACAAAAACAAAACCCUACCAACUUACUGGGAAUAAACAUCUUUUCUCGCCAUUGAAAAUCCUCUUGUAAAAAAGGCAUUUCUUCUAGUCCUCCUUUUACAUAAAUAGUAAAUAACUUAGAAGCUAAGAUAUGCAGUACGAUAGUCUAUUUUAAUGGUCUGCAAUCAAAUUUUAGGCUAAUUAAGCUAACUAGAAAUUCUAGGGUUACAGUGAUUACUCACUCUUUAUUGACAUAUUGACAAUAAUACUGUUUACAUAACACUUGAUGUUUAAAAUAAAAACGUGCCUGUGUCCAGUGAUUUGAUAAUCUAGUUUUUGAUCUAAUCCUGUCCUAUUUUUUGCAGCAUAAUCUAACCUCAUAUUAUGAAUCAUGUUGUCUUUCUAAAGUGAUUGCCAAGUAAACCAAAAAUGUGUUUUACACUGCUAUUGCACUGCUCUUGUCUUUAUAUACAGUAGUUUUUAUAAAGAUGUCCUUAGGUUUUAAUAAAUGAGUGUAACAUAAACUAAUCUCUGUAAUAAAACUUGUUUUAAUGUUUCAAGA